GUAGAAAAGGGUUAGUAAGGACUACAACCCUUUUAAAACAAAACUACCUUUGAUGAUGAUGAUCAAAAGUGACAAUGAAUUGUUGGUAUCACAAGCAGAUCCAGAUAAUUAUGUGUGUGCCAGGUCACUUUUUACAGCAGUGAAGGAGCACAGGAUUAUAUUCUGUCUUUUUUUGUAUCACUUCCCUGAAAGGCUUCGCAGUAGCUUAGCUCAGUACAGUUUUAUAUAUAAAAUGAACCAUACCAUCAACAUCAUCUCCUCUACUGGGCAAAUCCUGAUCUCUCCUCUAUGGACAAAAAGGGCCCUCCUGCAGUGGAAUCAGCGUACAAUGGAC
Mauremys mutica (yellowpond turtle) is the source of this 334-nucleotide long non-coding RNA. RefSeq lists it as uncharacterized. Lineage: Eukaryota; Metazoa; Chordata; Testudines; Geoemydidae. The transcript is spliced from 3 exons. The record is from RefSeq and is a predicted model, not a curated record.